AAAUGAAUUGAGCAAAAUCAACUCAAAAUAUUCCCACACGCCAGAACGUCCUCUCUUCCUCGCUGGCUCCAUAUCUGUCAGUGGAAUGAUCACCUCGUCGCUAUCUGUCACCAUCAACACACUCCACGAAUCCCGAGGAUGAUUCACUUCCUUAUAUCUGUUUGAAUCAGGUACCGAAGCAGUUACGUGCGUAACGAAGCUUCGGACGUCACUGGUCACGUGACUUUUGCCAAACGAAGCAAGCCUCGACACAGUGCUUCUGAACCAGUGUGUUGUUUUUUUCGACACACGCUCCGGAGCGUCAGCUUCAAGCGGGCCAUCACUAGUGAAAAUAUGAAGCGUUGGACAGCACCAGGCCCCGACAUGGUUCGCACCUACUAGCUGAAGAAGCUGACUGCACUCCACGAGCGUCUGGCAGCACAAAUGAACCAGCUGCUAGUUGACGAGAGACACCCGGAAUGGCUAACCGAAGGUCGGACGGUCCUGAUCCCCAAGGACCCCAAGGAGGGACCGGUCCCAUCCAACUACCGACCAAAGGAGGGAUAUUAGGCCCCUUAUGUCAAACAGAGUGAUUUGUGGCCCCAAUAAAAUGAUUUGUGACCCUAGGACGCCUCGUACCUGAAUGAACUCCUCCCAGGGAUUUCAUCAGAUCAACAAGCUGUUCGGUGAGGGGAAUCCUUGGUAGGACCUUCUAUUGUCAAGCAUUUGAGUUUUUGUGAAACAGCGUGGUCGUGGUGUCACGCUGAGUUCCCAUCAUUCACCGUGCAGCAUGUUCACAGCAGAUAUAUCGAACAAUUAUCUGGUAAGUUAUUGGACAAUGACACAUUUUGUUGUGUAGCCUCUGUGGAUGUGACUGAAGUGGAAACUUUCAGCUUUAAUUCAAGGGAUGUUCAUCGGUUAUGGACUUUAGGCAAAGGAUAGAUCCAAAUGUCAAAAACAAUACUCUUAUUUAAAAUUAUGUUCUGAAAAGAAAUGUGUCAAAAUAAAGUUCCUAAACAGAUGAAGAUAUAUUUUUGUUUAAACCCUUGAAAUGAAAGUGAUUAAAGCCUGCAGUUCAAUCAUUUCAACAGGUCUGUUCAUAAGUAACCGUUCCUUUUGAGCAGGGGCUCGUCUGUAGCAGCACUGUAGACGUUGGUAAGCACUUGUCCUUCAUGCUUUAGGUACUUGGGGUGUUCAGAGACAAGAAACACAGUGCAUUUGUUUGGACACUCGGUGAUCCCGGAACAGACCCCAUCAUAGCUGUAAAUGGGUUCUUCAUGCUCUGAGACCAGCACAAGAGAGCAGGAGACUCUUUUUGUACAGUGGAUCAAGCAGCUAUCACACGGGCUGGCAUUUAAUAUGUAUUCUGAUGUUACUGAACUCUCCCCCACUUUCAGUAAUGAAGACCAGCAAAUUUACAACCAGCUCUGCUACAGCUCAAAAGUGAGAGAAAGGUGGGAGACAAUACUGGUGUGUGGGGAUCCUACAUCCCUGUACACCAGUGUUAAGGAGAGGAAUGCUUAAUGACAGGUUAUGGUGGAUUUUGCAAAAAGGAUUGAAAUGGCUGUGGUGAAGUGCAGUGGUACAGGUAUCAAGAACGAGGGUGAUGCACAGAGCAGUUGUAAAUACAGGGGGAUGAAGUUGACGACAACGGGAAAGACUUGCUUAAGAAGCAACGUGACAGUGAGCAGCAGUAUGGCUUCAUGCUGAGAGAAAAGCAAGCGUACCAACAGAGAGCUGUGGAGAAGGUCUGAAGGAGUUACACUGUCUCUUUGUGGAGAAAGGAUGUGAUGGUGACAGGAGGGGAACUGUGGUCCUGCACGACUGCAAGGUACAUGAGGCUGGUGCAGGAACUAUAUAUAGGACAGUGAGCCAGUGGUGAGGUGUGCAGCAGGAGUGACAGAUGAGCUCAAGGCAGAGGUGGGAUCGUAUCAAGGAUCUGCUCCCAGCGCCUUCUUGUUUGCUAUGGAUACACACAUGGUCUGUUAGAUGAGGUCAGGCAGGAGUGUCCAUGGACUCUGAUGUUUGCAGACGACAUUGUGAUCUGAAGUAAGAGUAGGGAGCAGGUAGAAGAAACUCUGGAGAGGUGGAGGUAUGCACUGGAGAAAGAAGAAAUCAAAGACUGGUAGGAAGGUGUACACACAAGGAGCAGAGACGGUGGAAGUAGAUGAGUUCAAAGACCUGAGGUCAACCAUCCAAAGCAACAGGCAGUGUGCAAAAGAGGUGACGAUGCAUGGUGGAGCAGGUGAAGAUGAGCAACAGGGGCGACGGAGGAAAAGCAGUAGUGAAAGGGAAGCUUUACAAUACAGUAGAGACUCUGAAGAUGAUGGCACUGACGAACAGGAGACUGGGCUGGAGCUAUGCACGUUCAGUCCUCAUGUAACUGCACUGUUAAUGAACUUUAACAUGCCACUCCACGCUUGGGUUUCUGAAAACUGAACAGUCUUAGCUGGUGAACAGGGAACAGGUCACAGUACUUUUCUCAGUCCUGUCCUGUCUUUGGAAACGUUUCACUGGGAUUCCUUUAAAAUGUUUUUGUUUGAAAGGAUCCAUCCAUUCACAAGUACAUCAGAGCAGUGAACAUACAGGCAAAGAGCAGCUUUUUGGAGUCAUGGACAUGAAUCACAGCGUUAAUCCAACUAUGGAUGUGGUGACUUAUCAAUAUGUUCAUAGUUGUUUGAAAGAUCAGACAAGAAACCCCUCAAACGUCUCCAUCGAGUGGAUGGAGAUUAAUGGGACAUUACCCAAACAUAAAUUCUCCUCAUUUCUAACACCAAGUGUACUUUUACUGCCAAGAGCCAUCACAUCCAUUAACAAGUUUGUUUAAUAAAUGAUUAAAAGAUUUUCCCUGUGGCGUUUAUCUGCAAGUUUAAAUGUUGGCUUUGUUUUCAUGCAGUUUCCUCUCCUGAUUUCUGGGCCACACGCUCGAGGACAGAAAGAAAGUCUGCUCUCCUUUCCCGUCUCUCUCAGGGCCUGUGGUCUCAAACUCUAUUCCGAUUAAUUAAAUAAGCA
Long non-coding RNA from Astatotilapia calliptera (eastern happy), 2991 nucleotides. Lineage: Eukaryota; Metazoa; Chordata; Actinopteri; Cichliformes; Cichlidae. The record is from Ensembl.